UCAGGGUUAUUCCCAGGACACAACAAUGAGACAUGACUUGCAUAAAUAGUCUUGGUUGAGGCGUACCCAGGUGUCCACCAAUUAGCUAACAAACACU
Molecule: long non-coding RNA, 97 nt
Organism: Etheostoma spectabile (orangethroat darter)
Lineage: Eukaryota; Metazoa; Chordata; Actinopteri; Perciformes; Percidae
Exons: 3
Source: RefSeq, a predicted model, not a curated record